Bufo bufo (common toad) is the source of this 146-nucleotide long non-coding RNA. RefSeq lists it as uncharacterized. The record is from RefSeq and is a predicted model, not a curated record. NCBI's taxonomy places the organism in Eukaryota, Metazoa, Chordata, Amphibia, Anura, Bufonidae. The transcript has 3 exons.
CUUCUUGCCAUAUCAGAGCCUCUAUUGAGUGGAGGGAUCAGGUAGGGGACCCAGAUUGUCCUGAGCCGGUGCAUGAGGGACAGGAGGCAUGGGGGUGGCGAUCCUUUCUGGUUCCGCCUCAAGAGGUGGCUCAGGCUCCCGAGUGC